Ricinus communis (castor bean) is the source of this 1211-nucleotide long non-coding RNA. RefSeq lists it as uncharacterized. The record is from RefSeq and is a predicted model, not a curated record. Lineage: Eukaryota; Viridiplantae; Streptophyta; Magnoliopsida; Malpighiales; Euphorbiaceae. The transcript has 4 exons.
GUGACUGCUACACGAAUGUAAGCUAUUUUUUUGCAAGAGGAAGUGUAAUGGGGAAGGCGUAUAUGCUUUGUUUAAAAAGCAUAUAUGGACACUGGGAUGGUGCAUAAUUAGCCAUUUAACAAAAGGGGAUUGAUACCCACUCGAGAGGACAAAGCGAGCCUUUCUAGAUUUUCUAAACAAGAUUACAGAACUUUAGCAUUCGAGGCACAGGUACAAAGUCAAUGUGAAGAGAAAGGAGGCCAAACAGAUGAUUAAAGUAAUUAUAAACAGCUAAAGUAGCAUGGUGACCUUCAGGAAAGCAAAAGCAAAACAAGAAAGCUUAGGGAAGGAGGAGGAGCAUCUUCUGCUAUAUAAUAAUGAUGGAAUUUCGUAUGCGCGGAAGUGAUGAAUACAGCAGAGUAGAUUGAUUUGCAGAUGCAUUCUGUACUGUAAAGAUUUGAGAUGAUUGUAACUUUCAAUUACAAUUAUUGCAGAAUCAUGCAGUUGCUGUCUUUCUCAAGGACAUGAGUAGACUUAUUUUGCGGUUCUUGUAUUUGGAACAUCAUGAUUGCUUAAUCACAAACGUUUGAUUAAUUGCAUGUAUGUGAUUAUUUUAAGAUUAUCAGGUUCAAAAAUGUUAUGCUUGGCAUGUAUUAUAAUAAUAAUAAUUAUUAAUUCUCUGGGUUAAGAUGCUUUUGACAUUAAAAGAAGGAGUAACUUUAUACCAUAUUGGCAUAACAAAUUGGUCUUGUGCUCAAGUUUGUGAUUGGUUAUUUGGGGUUACGAAUUUCCCACUGAUUCAGCUUUUAAUAAAAGAAUUUCACUUUUUUUUUUUUUUUUUUUAGAGAGAGGGAAAGGAAAAAGAAAUACUUUCUGAAUGGCACCAUACUUCAUUGCAGCCAGUAUUAACUAUUUGUUUUGUAUUUGAGUGCAAUUAAAAAAAUAUUAUAUGAUUUCGAAAUUUUUAUUAGUACAAAUACAUUUUUAGAUUUAUUUUAAGAGAAGGGGAAUUUAUUGAAGUGUAUGUAAAAUAUUCAGGCAUCACUUAAGCUUUGAUUUAAAAUCAAAUUCAACAUAUUUGAACUGAAUUAUAUGACAUAGAUAGCAGGAAGUAUAUGAUAUAUGUUUUCUAUUUGAUUGCAAAUUGAUAUUUUCUAAAAUCAUUAAUUAUAUAUUAUGUGCCAAAAGUAUGUUAUUAUUAUUAGUAAUUAUGGAUGGGUGGAGCGAGAGAC